This 507-nucleotide ribosomal RNA is filed under the name uncultured bacterium. RNAcentral's name for it is "partial 16S ribosomal RNA". It matches the Rfam family "Bacterial small subunit ribosomal RNA", at positions 28 to 507 of the family's 1533-position model. The record is from RNAcentral.
GACGAACGCUGGCGGCGUGCUUAACACAUGCAAGUCGAACGGGCCUUGUCCCCUUUUUUUUGGGGGUGGGGUUAGUGGCGAACGGGUGAGUAACACGUGAGUAACCUGCCCCUCACUUCUGGAUAACCGCUUGAAAGGGUGGCUAAUACGGGGUGUUCUGGCCUGCUCGCAUGGGUGGGUUUGGAAAGAUUCGACCGGUUUUGGUUGUUUUGGUGGGGGAUGGGCUCGCGGCCUAUCAGCUUGUUGGUGGGGUGAUGGCCUGCCAAGGCUUUGACGGGUAGCGAGCCUGAGAGGGUGAGCGGUCACACUGGGACUGAGACGCGGCCCAGACUCCUACGGGAGGCAGCAGUGGGGAAUAUUGCACAAUGGGCGCAAGCCUGAUGCAGCGACGCCGCGUGAGGGAUGGAGGCCUUCGGGUUGUGAACCUCUUUCGCCAGUGAAGAAGGUCCUGCUCUUUGUGGUGGGGUUGACGGUAGCUGGGUUAAUGAAGCGCCGGCUAACUACGUG